Molecule: long non-coding RNA, 1135 nt
Organism: Zingiber officinale
Lineage: Eukaryota; Viridiplantae; Streptophyta; Magnoliopsida; Zingiberales; Zingiberaceae
Exons: 5
Source: RefSeq, a predicted model, not a curated record
UAUUCACCGUGAUUUACUCCCUCUCAUACUCGUGGGGCAGGGGUGAGGGGGCCGCUGGGCGGCGGGACCCGCCUUUUGCAACAUAUUUGGACCAAAAUGGUACCAUUGGAAGGUCGGAUAAGCGUUGAGUUGAUCUGCACUUCUGCUUCUGUACAUAUUACUAUGAAGUGAAGCACACUGGUUUUGAGACUUAAUUCAACCAUCCAUAUCUAUCCAACUCAUCCAGAUGCUAAUUGGCCAUGUUCAUAGUGGACAUUGGAAAUACUUUAUGCAUGGAUAUGCACAUUAGAACAAGUUCUUAUACUGCCACGUCUACUCCAAGUCAUGAUGGCAGGGACAAGUUUCCUCUCACGUUUCUAUUAGUUGAAGUCUGUAUGUAGGUUCAAAAGCAAGAUUCAAUCUGUGACAAGCUAAUGAUGGUAAUCUGCGUUCCUGCAAGUUGAGCAGCAGCAAAGGACAUUUGGAUGAUGGAGGAAUAUCCGGCAAUACACCCUACCUUUCGGGGGAAUGGGAUCUUGUGCUAGAUUUUGACAGAGACGGAAGAAAGGUAAAGUCCUUUCGAUGUUCUCAAGAGGCCAUUUUCAAUGUGCUCAAGUGUCCUUGUAAUGUAUUUCCAUGGUAGGAGCUGAUUCUCAUUUUGAUGUGGAGGUAAUGGAAUUCUUAUCGCUACAAUUUGAGCAGCAACACUAGGCACUUGGAUGAUGGAGGAAUGAAAUCUGGUAGAAGAUUUUGACAUACAUGGAGGAAAGGUAAGGUCAAUAGAUUUGGAUUCCUUAUCUUCCAUUCAAGCCAUAAUUAUGGCUAGGUUCAUUGUGUUGUUCAUUUGGCCGCCUUCUCCAUUCAAAAUUCAUAGCUGAAUGAUGCGGCAAAAUAUGCUGCUUCGUUGGAGAUUGAUGAUGAAGUACCCUCUCUACAUGAAUAAACACAUGUCAGAGGUGUCGCGGGAGUCAUCUCAACGAGGUCCCUAUGAAUGCCAUAAAAAAAUAGAAUUGUAGAAAUAUAAAUAAGAAAAAGCUAUGAUUAAGGUUAAAUAUCGGGAAUUCUCCAGCUCAUACGAUAGACUUUAAUAUUUAUAGAGGAUUGUUAUUUCAAAUCCUAACUAAUUAUUAGAUCUCAAAGAUUGUGGGUCAUGUGU